GACGAACGCUGGCGGCGUGCUUAACACAUGCAAGUCGAACGGAAAGGCCCCUUUGGGGGUACUCGAGUGGCGAACGGGUGAGUAACACGUGAGUAACCUGCCCUUGACUUCGGGAUAACUUCAGGAAACUGGGGCUAAUACCGGAUAGGAAUCCUUGCUGCAUGGUGGGGGUUGGAAAGCUUCGGCGGUUUUGGAUGGACUCGCGGCUUAUCAGCUUGUUGGUGGGGUAGUGGCUUACCAAGGCUUUGACGGGUAGCCGGCCUGAGGGGGCGACCGGCCACAUUGGGACUGAGAUACGGCCCAGGCUCCGACGGGAGGCAGCAGUGGGGAAUAUUGCACAAUGGGCGGAAGCCGGAUGCAGCAACGCCGCGUGCGGGAUGACGGCCUUCGGGUUGUAAACCGCUUUCAGCAGGGGCGAAGCUUGUGGUGACGGUACCUGCAGAAGAAGCACCGGCUAACUACGUG
This 465-nucleotide ribosomal RNA is filed under the name uncultured bacterium. Its description in RNAcentral is "partial 16S ribosomal RNA". It matches the Rfam family "Bacterial small subunit ribosomal RNA", at positions 28 to 507 of the family's 1533-position model. The record is from RNAcentral.